AGCGAACGCUGGCGGCAGGCCUAACACAUGCAAGUCGAACGAACUCUUCGGACUUAGUGGCGGUCGGGUGAGUAACACGGGGGAACGUGCCCUUUGGUUCCGAGUCACUCAGGGAAACUUGUGCUCAUACCGCAUGUGCCCUUCGGGGGAAAGAUGUAUCGCCAUUAGAGCGGCCCGCGUCUGAUUCGCCAGUUGGUGGGGUAACGGCUCACCAAGGCGACGAUCAGUAGCUGGUCGGAGAGGAUGACCAGCCACGCUGGGACUGAGGCACGGCCCAGACUCCGACGGGAGGGAGCAGUGGGGAAUCUUGCGCAAGGGGCGAAAGCCUGACGCCGCCAUGCGGCGUGAAUGAGGAAGGUGUUAGGAUUGUAAAAUUCUUUGAGCGGGGGCGAGAAUUACGGUACUCGGUGAAGAAGCACCGGCUAACUACGUG
This 433-nucleotide ribosomal RNA is filed under the name uncultured bacterium. RNAcentral describes it as "partial 16S ribosomal RNA". It matches the Rfam family "Bacterial small subunit ribosomal RNA", at positions 28 to 507 of the family's 1533-position model. The record is from RNAcentral.